This 292-nucleotide ribosomal RNA is filed under the name uncultured bacterium. Its description in RNAcentral is "partial 16S ribosomal RNA". It matches the Rfam family "Bacterial small subunit ribosomal RNA", at positions 333 to 643 of the family's 1533-position model. The record is from RNAcentral.
UGACCUACGGGAGGCAGCAGUGGGGGAUAUUGCACAAUGGGGGAAACCCUGAUGCAGCGACGCCGCGUGAGUGAAGAAGUAUUUCGGUACGUAAAGCUCUAUCAGCAGGGAAGAAAAAUGACGGUACCUGACUAAGAAGCCCCGGCUAACUACGUGCCAGCAGCCGCGGUAAUACGUAGGGGGCAAGCGUUAUCCGGAUUUACUGGGUGUAAAGGGAGCGUAGACGGCUGUGCAAGUCUGAAGUGAAAUGCCGGGGCCCAACCCCGGAACUGCUUUGGAAACUGUACAGCUA